Molecule: long non-coding RNA, 400 nt
Organism: Oncorhynchus tshawytscha (Chinook salmon)
Lineage: Eukaryota; Metazoa; Chordata; Actinopteri; Salmoniformes; Salmonidae
Source: Ensembl
CUGGGGGAUUCUGGGAGGUAUUAGGGGCAGAAGGUGGGCCUGCUGGGGGAUUCUGGGAGGUGUUAGGGGCAGAAGGUGGCGAUUCUGGGGGAUUCUGGGAGGUGCUAGGGGCAGAAGGUGGGUCUCCUGGGGGAUUCUGGGAGGUGUUAGGGGCAGAAAGUGGGCCUCCUGGGGGAUUCUGGGAGGUGUUAGGGGCAGAAGGUUGGCCUCCUGGGGGAUUCUGGGAGGUAUUAGGGGCAGAAGGUGGGCCUGCUGGGGGAUUCUGGGAGGUGUUAGGGGCAGAAGGUGGGGAUUCUGGGGGAUUCUGGGAGGUGCUAGGGGCAGAAGGUGGGUCUCCUGGGGGAUUCUGGGAGGUGUUAGGGGCAGAAGGUGGGCCUCCUGGGGGAUUCUGGGAGGUGUU